CGCCCCUAUCUCAGCCCAAGCGCAGUGGAGGACACCGGGCGCUUCCCUUGUUGUGUUGCACUUAUAGUGUGACGAAGCCCCGCAUCAUCCAUUUCUUCUACUGGGCAGAGGACGGAGAGGCUAACGACCUCAGAAAUUACUGUUACCAUACGUAGUGUGCUGUUUCGGAGUACGAAGGAACGCGGACCAAGAGCUGUCAGUGACUGUGAGUAAAACAUUGGAAAUAUUCGUGGUGUAAACUUACCUGUGUCUGUUUUGUCGCAGAGUCAGAGGCAAAAGGGUCCGCCGCCCCCGCGGUCUCUACAAAGGGGCGCCCCUGUCCAGGAUUCGAUCGGCCUACGGGCAGUGGAGAUAGGGCAGCGCUCGACCCGGUGAGGUGGUGUGUGACCUUCGCCCCUCUGCUGACCUACGGAGGAAACCAUACCUACCCAGAAAGUUGUAAACAGCAGAGCCGGUGAGAAAUACUCGAAGUCUCAGUAACAGUGUCUUUGUGUCCUAGCGGCCACCUGUGGAGAGAGAGAAGAACGAGAGUGAAUAA
Non-coding RNA from Paramisgurnus dabryanus, 538 nucleotides. NCBI's taxonomy places the organism in Eukaryota, Metazoa, Chordata, Actinopteri, Cypriniformes, Cobitidae. The record is from RefSeq and is a predicted model, not a curated record.